UUUUUCACAACAGCUUUUCUUCCUGUGCAAAAUCAUCAAGUCACCCAGCAUCAGACCCCCAAAACAACACAGGGAUCAACAACAUAUUCAACACAACUUUUCUCUACAAUCACAGCUGCAACAGAGACACAAAGAAUAUGGCUUAUCAUAGCCAGCCAAGCCAUAACUCUGACGGGUCUUGCGCUCAUCUGUCUGUGCUUUUUCAUCAAAAAGAAACCAGGAACAAAAAGCUUCGAGUUAUCUGAAGUGCACUACGUAGAAGUAAUUCAGGGGAGCUCAUUAAGUCAAGGAGACAGCAUCGCUGAUGUCCUUUCAUGUUGAUGAGAUUUCUUUCAUUUAUUCUUAUUUUAGGUCUCCUUUACUUUUUUACUUCCUUUAUAACUGUUGCAUGUAAAUCACUGAGAAAAACACAACAGCAGUGUCCAGAAUCAAUGUAUAUGAUUUGAUAUGAUUUUAAUGCAGGCAUUUUAAUUGAACCAUAAUA
Misgurnus anguillicaudatus (oriental weatherfish) is the source of this 484-nucleotide non-coding RNA. The record is from RefSeq and is a predicted model, not a curated record. Lineage: Eukaryota; Metazoa; Chordata; Actinopteri; Cypriniformes; Cobitidae.